Long non-coding RNA from Alligator mississippiensis (American alligator), 5495 nucleotides. RefSeq lists it as uncharacterized. The transcript is spliced from 7 exons. NCBI's taxonomy places the organism in Eukaryota, Metazoa, Chordata, Crocodylia, Alligatoridae. The record is from RefSeq and is a predicted model, not a curated record.
AGAAAGCAAUUACCAGACUGUAUCUGGCAGUCAGUUUCUAAAGGUGAACUCAACUCUGCAGGCUGUGCAUAGCAAAGUCUAGGAAGAAACCAGAGGUCCACUGGAACAGAUCCACUGCACAGCAUCCAGAAGAUGGCUGUCUUAGCCCUUCCCUCAUUGUGCUGAGGGUUGUUCUCUCACACCACUACUUCAGGUGCUGCCAAAUUGGGGCUAACCAUUGUCAUUUGUAACAGAAAUCAGCAGUAAUUAGUAGUGAAGAUAAACACAUUUGUCUCAGCUGCCUGCGGAGGGUUUGGGAUUGAGAGUAUGGUUGGGGAUAGAAAGGGAGCAGUCAUCUUCUCUGAGCCUUCAUUUUGCUAAGGCUGAUGCUGUCCUUGAAUUCAGUUACUCCUGUCAAUACUGCUUCUAACCCAGAAGAUGACUGUAGACAACGGCACAAGAGUGAAGCACAUGUUUCUUUAUGACCUGCUUGGGAUUUCCACAGAUAUAGCACCAUGAAGCUCCAUUCUCCUCACACUAGUGAAGGAUUAAUGGAGCAUUAAAGCAUUGGGUCUGCCUUGGACACUAUCACUAGAGUUACGUAUACAACUUCAGCCCCAUUGAAGUUUAACAACAAAAUGAACAAAGGGCAAAUUGUAGCACAUUAAGACCUCAAGUUGAGACCAACUUCCUUGGCAGUAAGAGGCAAUUUGAGUCUUUCCGACUGCCAGUCCUCCCCUGAACAGAGUCCAGCAUCAUUUUGUGGUCUGUUUCCAUCUAGCUGUGUGGGAGAAUAAGGCACAUAAAUCAACCAACUUUUGAAAUAAGGAGAGAAGGAAGUCUGUGUUCAGCUGGCUGGUUUGGGGGUGUAGACUAUUAUCUGUUACAGACUGGGCUUAUGUGCUAUUGUUUAAUUGUUUUUUUCACAAUUCCUAUAAAAGAACUUUGCAGUGGCUCUCUAUCUCCUAGUUCUGCAUGGUCUUUUGUGAUUAUAUGUCUGGUCUCUCACAUCCCUGCUCUCUUAGCUAAAGUGAACAUGGAGGGAGAAUCCAUUUCUAAGCACUUGGAGGAGAAGAAGGUGAUUAGGAACAUCCGGCAUGGAUCACCAAGGGCAAGUCAUGUCUGACCAACCUGAUGCCUUCUGUGAUGAAGUGACUGGUUCUGUGGAUCCGAAGAGAACAGUGAGCAUGAUAUACCUUGACUUUAGCAAGGCUUUUGAUGUGGUCUUCUGCAACAUUCUUGCAAACAAGCUAAGGAAGUGUGGGUUGGAUGAAUGGACUGUAAGGUGGAUAGAAAACUGACUGGAUCAUUGGGCUCAAUUAAUGGCUCGAUGUCUAGUUGGCAGCCAGUAUCAAGGGGAGUGCCCCAGGGGUCAGUCCUGGGGCCAGUUUUGUUCAAUAUCUUCAUCAGUGAUCUGGAAGAUGGGAAGGAGUGCACCAUCAACAUGUUUGCAGAUGACGCCAAGCUGUGGGGAGGGCUCCAGACAUGCGGGAGGGUAGGGCUAGGAUUCAGAGAGACCACAACAAAUUGAAGGGCUGAACCAAAAAAAAUCAUGAGCUUCAAUAAGGACAAGUGCAAAGUCCUGCAGUUAGGAGAGAACAAUCUUAUGGAAUGGUAUAGGCUGGGGACUGACUGGCUAAAGACCUAGAGGUUGCAGUGGACAAUAAACUGAAUAUGAACUAACAGUAGGUGCAUCUACAUGAGGCACUUACUGCAUGGUAGCCUAAUAACACUAUGCAGCAACAUGCCAGUCAAAAACCAUGCUAAUAAGCAAUUGCACAGUAUUAUUAGGCUACUUCACAGUAACAUCACAAAAAAAACAGGUGCUGGCACUACUGUUCAUAAUUGUAGUUACUGCAGAGUUAGUAUUUUAUUAAGGAAGCACUAAACUAAAUGAGAGUAACUACUGUGCAUUAAUGAAUGUGUAGAUGCACAUAGUGUGUCCUUGUUGCCAAGAAGGAGAAUGGCAUACUGGGCUGCCUGUGGCAUACUGUGGCACUAGUGAGGCCACAUCUGAAGUACUGCAUCCAGUUUUGGGCCCCCUACUACAGAAAGGAUGUAGACACAUUAGAGAGAAUUCAGUGGAGGGCAGCAAAAAUGGUUAGAGGGCAGGGGCACAUGCCUUAUUUGGAGAGGCUGAGGUAACUGGGGUUAUUUAGCCUGCAGAAGAGAAGACUGAAGGGGGAUUUAAUAGGAGCCUUCAACUCACUGAAGGGGGGUUCAAAAGAGGAUGGAGCUAGACUGUUCUCAGUGGUGGCAGAUGACAGAACAAGGAGUAAUAAUGCCCAGCUGCAGCAAGGGAAGCUUACAUUAGAUAUUGGGAAGAACUUUCUCACCAGGAGGGUAGUAAAACACUGGAACAGGUUACCCAGGGAAGUUGUGGACUCUCCAUCCUUGAAGGUUUUUAAGACCUGUCUUGACAGAGCUUUGGCUGACCUCCUGAGGUCCCUUCCAACCCUAAUAUUCUAUGGUUUCUAUGAUUCUAUGAACACUAGUGAGGUGGAGAAUUAAUUCAUUGAACACUGAUUAAUUAAGACAAAAGAUGUAGUUUCUCACUAAGCUUACACACAAUAGUAGUCUACACUAGGUUCACCAUGUCUAGUGUGGAUUAAUAGUGGGUUUAUUCCUGAGAUGAUUUCCAUACGGAGAAUAGUUGAUAGUAAAGAUAUGUGCCCUUUUUUUAGCAUUCUGGAAAAGAGAAUGAUAAUACCCUGUCCCACUGCAAAUUUUGAUGUCUCAGAAUUUGUCCAUAACACUUACUUUAGUAAAAGGAAAAAAACUAAUGAUUUUGUGACAUGCAAAUCUUCAAAACAUACAUUUUCUCGUUAUAAGUGGUGAUUUUGAAUUGAUGCUUGCUCACAAUAGCAGGAGCAUCCAUCCCAAACUUCACAUCCAAAAACCUCUAUCAAAGCCAAUACAUUCUCAGAAAAUAUUUCGGCUACAAUGAAGAGCAUGUUUCAGUGAAGAUUUGCUUAAUUAUAAAUAUUCGUUCUAUCUAACUUAGGGAAUCUUCAUGUAUUUCUAAGAACCCUUUCCACAAGGUGGCUAUGGAAAUUCACUGAAUUGUAGUUUAUCCUCUGGUUACUCUAGUUUGCCACCUCCCAACUGGUCCCAUUCUUUUUUUUUCCUAUAGUGUUCUUAUAAUAGAAGGGAGCUUGAAGCCAUUUUAAGACCAUGAAAAUCUCCCCUUAUCUCAGUAGACUUUCUGAAACUAUGGGAGAAGGGCCAGGGUCCAUCUAGGGGCUUUGUGUCUCCUUCUUCAUGCUCUGCCCCCUUUGUAUUUAGAUGCCAAUCAGCUUUAAUAGGAUACACAAUUCAGAAAUCUUUUGGCUAUUCAGUAUUCCCUUCACUUCCUUUUGUGUGAAAACCAAUCACAUGUCCCUUUCUUGCUAUUCCAAGAAAUCAAAGUGUCUGCAAGUAUUACUGUACAGUAUAAAAAAAACCCUAUGUUCUUGGUAAACUGCUAGAAAUUCUUUGAAAAAUUAAAAAAAAAUCUGAAUCAACCCUUUCAUUUUUUAAGGUAGAAACAAGAAAUUGCAUGUAAGCAGAAAUUGGAGGCCAAUUUCAAUUUUACCCUUGAUUGGCUUCUCACACAUUCUGCCCUGCGAGCCUGACCCAAUGUGUCCUACACUCAGAAUGCUCAUACAGUAAAACAUGGGCUGCCCUCUUGCAAUGAAUCUGAAAGAUCUUCAUGAUGACUGAAACAGCAAAUGAUUUAAAAAAAAUGGUACAAGCUGAACAAAUUGCUAGGAAAAUCUCCCUGUAGGGAAGAGCACACAAAAGUGGAACUGGGCCCCUUGAAGCAAUGCUGCGCCUGCUGGCCAGGCUACCUUGCAGCAGAAUUGCUGCUGCUGCAGCCCAGGGAGGGCUCCAGGGGCCAGCAUAAUGCUACCCCCAGCCUCCCAUGACCAGGGUAACUUGCUGCACACCAAAGAGCACGUGGCACAGGCGUUCCUUGGGGACAAGUAGUGGCAGCACAAGGUACACCAUUGCUAUUUGUCCCCAGGGAAUCAAACGUCCACACUCUGGACAUGCCCCAUGAGUGUUUGCCCACAUUCUCACUCGCUUGCUUGCUUGCUCACUUAUAAGCUACUGUUGUGCAUACAAUGGCAAAUCACAGAUCCAAACAGAAACCCAUCACCUACUUGAUAUGGGAAGUUUUUGCAGCUCUACUGUAAAGAUCUAAUGACUAUACAUUUUGGAAAUAUAUUGCAUCUUAUGGCUAAUACAUUUCAAAGCUAUUUUAAAUAAGCUCUAGCCAAAGAAUCAGAUAAAAAGAAAAAAAAGACCUUUUAAAUCCCAUUGAUUUUUAGUAAGGAGUAAGCACCUAAAUGCCUUUAGGAAUGUGGUCUUAAGAGGUAUAAGAUGUAUUAAGCUAUUUGUUGUUAAAAAAUCGUGUUGCCAGAAGUCUGGCCUGUGCUGUUUAUAUUAGACCAGCUAAUCUAGUCCCCAAGCUACUGUGAGAUACCUGCACUAUGUCAAAGCAAUCAGAAACUUCUCAAAAUGUUCUGUAAUAAAUAUUUUUCCUUUUCUUUUAUUGAUGUAUGUUUGUUAUGGAUAGGACCUGUUUUGCUGAAAAAUCAAAUAAAAAUGCUCUGCAGCAUUUUGAACAGAAACAGAGGCCUAAGAGGAAAUAACAGGACUUGGGAGAGGGAAAGAAUCAUUUGGAAAUGCCUGCAGUUUCUGGGACAGGGUAGAAAACAUGAAGAAAAUAGAUUAUAGCAAGAAACCAGACAUGACUAAAAAAUGCAAGGCCUUGGGAGCCUGAAGUAAAACGCAUAUCUACAUUAUCUAGGCUGUAUCCAAGAUGCUGCUAUAAAGCUCACCUAUGUACUCCUAUUCCACGUAUUAAAAAUCCUAGAAAUGAGGCAGCUGCCUGAGACUAGCACUGACCUGAAGUAGAGAUCCCAAGAGCAGUGCUGGGAAUUUACUCAUCACUACUUUAAGGCUUUUUUAGGAAUUGCUUCACAUGAGGCAGGAACAAAUGAGCAAGUCAUGCCUUGCAGUGUUGCCCCCAGGUAUAAAAUGGAGCCUGGGUAAACAUGACCUAGAAGGAGCAGACUUUGCUUAUUAAGUGUUGUAUACCUAUGUGUAGAUAACCUGGCUACAGGUGGGGCUCAAGAAUAUAUAGUAUGGUUCCUGGGUUUUAAAAUUCAUUGUUGCGUACUGCAAAUACCUUCCUUGAUAUAGCUAUUUUAAUGGAGUUUUAACAGUGGUUAUCCAUAUGGCAUUUGUGGAGCAGUUUAGGUGAUUGCCUCCAUGUGUAAAUAUAGAUAUAUGUGUUGACUUCAACUUGCAUUUGCAGUAAGAUUUGAUAAGGAAAAACCUGGGCUCACUGAAGCCUGAACUUUUUGGAGCCCCUGGACCACAGAAACUGCUUUCAACUUACGCAGUGAGUUUUGGAAAGAUUCACACAGAUCUGCUCCAUAAUUUCCCAUUGCUGGCAUUCCUCAGUGCAAUAUGACCUAAUAUUUUCAAAGCUAUGGAAUUUGCUAAAUAAAAUAUUUCUUGCUGAA